AUUCAGUGUCGAGUCCUUCAAUCACCAGAUGCUAACAUACCUAUCUAAACGUAUUCACUUUUCGACGAAGGCAUUUUUAAUGCGAAUGAAUUUGGCCGUCCUGGACUGGAAUGAGAAUGUGAAUCGUAGUAUGAAAAAGGUCCGAGAUCGCACUGCAAUGAGGACAAGGUAUGUAAGACUUUACACUGUAUACUUUUAUUUACGUACAUUUUUUGACGAGAGUGACUAUGUGACGAGAGUGACUAUGAAGAGGACAGCUCAGAUAAUUAUUGAAGAUGGAUAAUUAUUGAAGAUGGGGUUAUGCCUCCCGAUUAUUCAGACUCAUCACGAUUUUGAUGAUAAUUAAUUCUGAGUUUACACGUACAUAAUUAUACAUGUACUUCACUACUACAUGAUAGCCUCGAACGUUGACCGAUAGUCCCGAUAGGUGCCGUCAUGACCUCGACCUAAUCUCCUACAAUGUGUGAAAGGUAUUCGUCGUCUACCCACACUCGUAAGUCACUCAUAAGUCACUCAGUAACCGCCUAUGUCUCAUUGGCAGCCUUCUGGACGCAACUGAGUGACACACGGUGCACACAGGCAAUUGGCAGUGAUUCAUGCCACGGACCUCUGGGUUGUGUCGGUAUCCACGAGGGUGGCCAGAGAAGUUAUUAAUUGUUGAAUAUCACGGUUGAUCUUGCUGUGACUCCCGAGUCUGGGGUUUCUGAGUCGUCAGUAGUAAUUCAACCUCAACUGGAACUGGACAGAACAAUUUGCUGGCUGAUUGUCACAAAAGAACUCGCGGAGUCUCCUAACAAAUUUGUCAGGAAGAACUUCUUCGCUGCCUUUUGUAUUGUUUUACUCACUGUAAUAUCUCUCGUUCCAUCGCUACUUGAACUCCAUGAACUCCAUUUGUAAAAAAACUUUUUGUUUAUCCUAAAAUAUAUAUGCCCCUGCCAUAGGUAUUUUUUUUAUAUGUGUAAGUGUAAGUUAAUCUAUGUUGCGUAUGUUGUGCGUUUGUGCGUAUGUAGGUGAGCAAAGAGAGUUUGAA
Molecule: long non-coding RNA, 1030 nt
Organism: Halichondria panicea
Lineage: Eukaryota; Metazoa; Porifera; Demospongiae; Suberitida; Halichondriidae
Exons: 3
Source: RefSeq, a predicted model, not a curated record